Molecule: unclassified non-coding RNA, 479 nt
Filed under: Hevea brasiliensis (rubber tree)
Lineage: Eukaryota; Viridiplantae; Streptophyta; Magnoliopsida; Malpighiales; Euphorbiaceae
Source: RNAcentral
AUUUAUUUUAAAGAAACAAUAAACUAUUUUUUCUUUUGGUUUUUUGAAAAAGGAAAAACGCGUUUUUUUUAUUUUCUUAUUCUCAAUCAUUUGUUAUUUGUCCAUUUCGAUAGGUUAAUCAACUAUGAAAUUUUACCUAUUUUUUCACAAUCAAUACAUACUACCAAUAAUUGAGACCAGUCAUUAACAUUGGCCCUUUAGAACUCAUCAAAUUGUCACCCAUUUGUGCCACCGAUAAACUUCAGAUCAUAUUGAUUGUAAACUUCACAAACUACCCUCCCCAUUCUGAUGUUUACAUGCAUGCCUUCAAGAUAUCCAAACCAUUUAUUGUUUUGUUCAUACUAACCAGAUUUCAUUAGGUACUUCGCCAGAAGCUGAUCUGAAUAUAUCUAGGUGAAUCAGACAUAAUAAAAAAUAAUUCACAAACUACCCUCCCCAUUCUGAUGUUUACAUGCAUGCCUUCAAGAUAUCCAAACCAU